GACAGAGGGUGCAAACGUUGUUCGGAUUUACUGGGCGUAAAGCGCGUGUAGGCGGCUUGGCAAGUCGGAUGUGAAAGCCCACGGCUCAACCGUGGAAGCGCAUCCGAAACGGCCUCGCUCGAGUCUCGGAGAGGAAGGUGGAAUGCUUGGUGUAGAGGUGAAGUUCGUAGAUAUCAAGCAGAACACCUGCGGCGAAGGCGGCCUUCUGGACGAUGACUGACGCUGAGACGCGAAAGCGUGGGGAGCAAACAGG
Molecule: ribosomal RNA, 253 nt
Filed under: uncultured bacterium
Lineage: Bacteria
Description: partial 16S ribosomal RNA
Rfam family: Bacterial small subunit ribosomal RNA
Source: RNAcentral